AGCAGCCGCGGUAAUUCCAGCUCCAAUAGCGUAUAUUAAAGUUGUUGCAGUUAAAAAGCUCGUAGUUGAAUUUCGAGACCGGUUUAUUGGUCGUGCUUUUGUACGUACUGGUAUUAUUGGUUUCUCCUUUCUGACGAAUCUUAAUGCCAUUAAUUUGGUGUUUUGGGGAAUCAGGACUGUUACUUUGAAAAAAUUAGAGUGUUUAAAGCAGGCUCACGCUUGAAUACAUUAGCAUGGAAUAACGGAAUAGGACGUUUGAUUCUAUUUUGUUGGUUUCUAGGAUCGACGUAAUGAUUAAUAGGGAUAGUUGGGGGCAUUAGUAUUCAAUUGUCAGAGGUGAAAUUCUUGGAUUUAUUGAAGACUAACUACUGCGAAAGCAUUUGCCAAGGAUGUUUUCAUUAAUCAAGAACGAAAGUUAGGGGAUCGAAGACGAUCAGAUACCGUCGUAGUCUUAACCAUAAACUAUGCCGACUAGGGAUCGGAUGAUGUUAAUUUUUUAAUGACUCAUUCGGCGCCUUACG
This 521-nucleotide ribosomal RNA is filed under the name uncultured Glomeraceae. RNAcentral's name for it is "SSU rRNA". It matches the Rfam family "Eukaryotic small subunit ribosomal RNA", at positions 569 to 1092 of the family's 1831-position model. The record is from RNAcentral. Lineage: Eukaryota; Fungi; Glomeromycota; Glomeromycetes; Glomerales; Glomeraceae.